RNAcentral lists this ribosomal RNA (751 nucleotides) under uncultured bacterium. Its description in RNAcentral is "bacterial SSU rRNA". It matches the Rfam family "Bacterial small subunit ribosomal RNA", at positions 95 to 878 of the family's 1533-position model. The record is from RNAcentral.
GUGGCGGACGGGUGAGUAACGCGUGAGAAUCUACCAUCAGGUUCGGGACAACAGUUGGAAACGACUGCUAAUACCGAAUAAACCGAAAGGGGAAAGAUUAAUUGCCUGAUGAUGAGCUCGCGUCUGAUUAGCUAGUUGGUGGGGUAAAGGCUUACCAAGGCGGCGAUCAGUAACUGGUCUGAGAGGAUGACCAGUCACACUGGGACUGAGACACGGCCCAGACUCCUACGGGAGGCAGCAGUGGGGAAUUUUCCGCAAUGGGCGAAAGCCUGACGGAGCAAUACCGCGUGAGGGAGGAAGGCUCUUGGGUUGUAAACCUCUUUUCUCAGGGAAGAACAAAAUGACGGUACCUGAGGAAUCAGCAUCGGCUAACUCCGUGCCAGCAGCCGCGGUAAUACAGAGGAUGCAAGCGUUAUCCGGAAUGAUCGGGCGUAAAGCGUCCGCAGGUGGCUAUGCAAGUCUGCUGUCAAAGCCUGGGGCUUAACCCUAGAGAGGCAGUGGAAACUGAAUGGCUAGAGUACGGUAGGGGUAGAGGGAAUUCCCGGUGUAGCGGUGAAAUGCGUAGAGAUCGGGAAGAACACCAGUGGCGAAAGCGCUCUGCUAGGCCGAAACUGACACUCAUGGACGAAAGCUAGGGGAGCGAAUGGGAUUAGAUACCCCAGUAGUCCUAGCUGUAAACGAUGGAUACUAGGCGUUGCUUGUAUCGACCCAAGCAGUGCCGUAGCUAACGCGUUAAGUAUCCCGCCUGGGG